Molecule: small nuclear RNA, 301 nt
Filed under: Camelus ferus (Wild Bactrian camel)
Lineage: Eukaryota; Metazoa; Chordata; Mammalia; Artiodactyla; Camelidae
Description: 7SK RNA
Rfam family: 7SK RNA
About the family: 7SK was discovered as an abundant small nuclear RNA in the mid-70s but a possible function has only recently been suggested. Two independent studies have found that 7SK RNA binds the CDK9/cyclin T complex (known as elongation factor P-TEFb). P-TEFb activates transcription by phosphorylating the C-terminal domain of RNA polymerase II.
Source: Rfam by way of RNAcentral
GGACGUGAGGGCAGUCUGGCUGUGACAUCUGUCACCCUAAGGUCGCCAGGGUUGAUUUGGCUGAUCUGGCUGGCUAGGCAGGUGACCCCUUCCUCCCUCAAUGCUCCGUGAGUGUCCCUCUGGAAGCUACGCACUUGCUCGACCUUUCCUGACAGAGGACUGUUCUUAGGUCAAGGGUAUACAAAUAGCUAUGCUCCCUUGCUAGGCCCUCACACAAGAUUUCGAAGUCCAUUUGUAGCAGAACGCAGGGUAGCCAAGCUUCCAAGACUUUAGACAUAUCCAAGUAAGUCUGGGAAAACCU